Molecule: long non-coding RNA, 601 nt
Organism: Hordeum vulgare subsp. vulgare (domesticated barley)
Lineage: Eukaryota; Viridiplantae; Streptophyta; Magnoliopsida; Poales; Poaceae
Exons: 2
Source: RefSeq, a predicted model, not a curated record
AGUCCACGGGAUGUACCAGCCGUGCGAGGCUCUCGGGAUAGAGCCUAUCCGCAGCUCCACAAACGCCCUAGCCGCACCUAUAAAAGGCCCCCGAGUCCCCUCGUUCCAUUCAGCCGGCCCGCACCACCUCUUGCCGCUCGUAGCCGCCGUUGUUGCCACUUGGAUCUCGCCGGAGCCGAAGCCCUCCGUCGACGAUUCCGACGCCGGACGCACCGGAGCAGGCCCCUCGACGACCUGCGCCGCCGGAGUUCGCCAGAGGACAGGAGCUCCGCCCGCUCCCUCCGCUCGUCGCCGCAGACCGCCGCCACCACCGUUCGGCUGCACCUGUCGAGUCGUACCCGCCCGACCACCUCGCCCACGCCGGAGACCGCCGGAGCUGCCGCCCCGCUCGCUCAACACCCCUACCUCCCGACUCUUGCCGCUGCCUCUCUCGUUCGUCGUCAGGUAGAUUAGAUUAGGUGUUUUUAGAUUAGACUAGUUUACUGCCCUUGCCACGGAGCAACGAAACACAUUGUUAUUAAAUAAUUGUUUUAAUUUAAAAGUGUCUUUCAAACAUGACAUCAUGUGAUUUUGAUAUCUAUAAUAACAAAUUCAUUCUCUA